RNAcentral lists this ribosomal RNA (253 nucleotides) under uncultured bacterium. RNAcentral's name for it is "partial 16S ribosomal RNA". It matches the Rfam family "Bacterial small subunit ribosomal RNA", at positions 524 to 776 of the family's 1533-position model. The record is from RNAcentral.
UACAGAGGUCUCAAGCGUUGUUCGGAUUCAUUGGGCGUAAAGGGUGUGUAGGUGGCGCCGUAAGUCAGGUGUGAAAUCUCGGGGCUUAACUCCGAAACUGCAUUUGAUACUGCGGUGCUUAAGGACUGGAGAGGAGACUGGAAUUUAUGGUGUAGCAGUGAAAUGCGUAGAUAUCAUAAGGAAGACCAGUGGCGAAGGCGGGUCUCUGGACAGUUCCUGACACUGAGACACGAAGGCCAGGGGAGCAAACGGG